This is a long non-coding RNA of Perca fluviatilis (European perch), 193 nucleotides long. RefSeq lists it as uncharacterized. The record is from RefSeq and is a predicted model, not a curated record. Lineage: Eukaryota; Metazoa; Chordata; Actinopteri; Perciformes; Percidae. The transcript has 3 exons.
UACAAGAUUAAUAAAGUAGACCUGCAGGACCCGAGCAGAGCUACGAUGCUCUCCCAGGUACUUCAAGCUUUACAGUAAGAAGUCAAUGAAGUGAAGGACUACAGCCACAUCCCAGCCCUUCAGAGAACUGUCCUGCAGAAAAGGCUGUCGUCCAGACUGGAGCGGUGGGCCAUCCGUGAGCUCAGGAGACCAG